AUUGAACGCUGGCGGCAUGCUUUACACAUGCAAGUCGAACGGUAACAGGCCGCAAGGUGCUGACGAGUGGCGAACGGGCGAGUAAUGCAUCGGAACGUGCCCAGUCGUGGGGGAUAACUACUCGAAAGAGUAGCGAAGACCGCAUACGAUCUAUGGACGAAAGCGGGGGACCGGAAGGCCUCGCGCGAUUGGAGCGGCCGAUGUCGGCUUAGGUAGUUGGUGGGGUAAAGGCUCACCAAGCCAACGAUCUGUAGCGGUUCUGAGAGGACGACCAGCCACAUUGGAGCUGAGCCACGCCCCAGACUCCUACGGGAGGCCGCAGUGGGGAAUUUUGGACAGUGGGCGCAAGCCUGAUCCAGCAAUGCCGCGUGCAGGACGAAAGCCUUCGGGUUGUGAACUGCUUUUGUACGGAGCGAACCGGCUCUGGUUAAUACCCGGGGCUAAUGACGGUACCGUAAGAAUAAGCACCGGCUAACUACGUG
This 482-nucleotide ribosomal RNA is filed under the name uncultured bacterium. RNAcentral describes it as "partial 16S ribosomal RNA". It matches the Rfam family "Bacterial small subunit ribosomal RNA", at positions 29 to 507 of the family's 1533-position model. The record is from RNAcentral.